UUUUGGAGCAGAGGAACAUUUCUGUCUCAGCUGGGAGGAGCGGAGGUGUCCGAUGUCUGACCCGUCAGCUGGCGACAGCUGAGGGAGCCAGAGCCGACAUUCAUCUGAACCGAUUAAAACCAGAGGCUGAACGGGUCGCAGGUACAGGAGGAGGAGGAGGAUGGGGAAACCCAGGGUGAGACAGAGGAAGGAGCUCAAAUGGUACAAAGGUCACAUGGAGGAAGAACCAGGACAAUGUGGCAGGAGAUCUGAACAGAGUGGUCCUGGUCCUGCUUUGUGUUGAAGCCUUACCUGGGUGAUGUCUUCAUGCAGGAGGUGAGUCAGCUUCUCUCUGCGGAGCUCCUCUUCACAUUGAGCUGCUUUGUUCAGCCAAGACUCACAGAGAGAGUCCAGAGAACCCAGGCGAACCUCCAGCUGCUCCACCUGGAAACCUGCCCAGUUCUGAAACACCAGGAACACAUGACUCAGCUCCUGUCUCUUGAAGGACCCCCAUCCAUUCCUCCUACCUCCAUCACCAAGAGGAAGAAAUCUGAAGCCAGCUUCAGGACUUCCAGACGUUCUCCCAGCAGACAGAGGAGAAGAGACCAUCCCUCACUCAGAG
Girardinichthys multiradiatus is the source of this 601-nucleotide long non-coding RNA. RefSeq lists it as uncharacterized. NCBI's taxonomy places the organism in Eukaryota, Metazoa, Chordata, Actinopteri, Cyprinodontiformes, Goodeidae. The record is from RefSeq and is a predicted model, not a curated record. The transcript is spliced from 3 exons.